Molecule: ribosomal RNA, 521 nt
Filed under: uncultured Entrophosporaceae
Lineage: Eukaryota; Fungi; Glomeromycota; Glomeromycetes; Entrophosporales; Entrophosporaceae
Description: SSU rRNA
Rfam family: Eukaryotic small subunit ribosomal RNA
Source: RNAcentral
AGCAGCCGCGGUAAUUCCAGCUCCAAUAGCGUAUAUUAGUGUUGUUGCGGUUAAAAAGCUCGUAGUUGAAUUUCGGGAUUGGGAUAUAUCGGUCAUGCCUUUAGGGACAUGAAUCGGUGUGUGAUCAAUUCUCACCUUCUGGUGAAUUGGGAUGCUCUUGGGUGUUUCGAUGAACUAGGACAUUUACUUUGAAAAAAUUAGAGUGUUUAAAGCGGGCAUUUUUGCUUGAAUACAUUAGCAUGGAAUAAUAAAAUAGGACGAUGGUUCUAUUUUGUUGGUUUUAGGACCACGUAAUGAUUAAUAGGGAUAGUUGGGGGCAUUAGUAUUCAAUUGUCAGAGGUGAAAUUCUUGGAUUUAUUGAGGACUAACUACUGCGAAAGCAUUUGCCAAGGAUGUUUUCAUUAAUCAAGAACGAAAGUUAGGGGACCAAAGACGAUUUAUGUACGUCGUAGUCUUAACCAUAAACUAUGCCGACUAGGGAUCGGGCGGUGUUAUUAUUUUGACUCGCUCGGCACCUUACG